This 331-nucleotide ribosomal RNA is filed under the name uncultured bacterium. Its description in RNAcentral is "bacterial SSU rRNA". It matches the Rfam family "Bacterial small subunit ribosomal RNA", at positions 568 to 898 of the family's 1533-position model. The record is from RNAcentral.
UGCGCAGGCGGUCUCUUAAGCCAGAUGUGAAAUCCCCGGGCUCAACCUGGGAACUGCGUUUGGUACUGGGAGGCUGGAGUGCGGCAGAGGGGGGUGGAAUUCCACGUGUAGCAGUGAAAUGCGUAGAUAUGUGGAGGAACACCGAUGGCGAAGGCAGCCCCCUGGGCUAGCACUGACGCUCAUGCACGAAAGCGUGGGGAGCAAACAGGAUUAGAUACCCUGGUAGUCCACGCCCUAAACGACGGCGACUAGUUGUUGGGGAUUUAACAUCCUUAGUAACGCAGCUAACGCGUGAAGUCGCCCGCCUGGGGAGUACGGUCGCAAGAUUAAA